GCCUUGUGGUUCCUGGAGUCAGCUAAGUGCUGAGCUGUGGGUUUUAUAAACAGGCGCACAUUUUCUAUGAUUUUAUGCAUGGAUUCUGCCCUUAUUGCGGCCUUCCAUAGCCCGGUUGCAGAUACAGUC
Molecule: small nucleolar RNA, 129 nt
Organism: Eleginops maclovinus (Patagonian blennie)
Lineage: Eukaryota; Metazoa; Chordata; Actinopteri; Perciformes; Eleginopidae
Product: small nucleolar RNA SNORA84
Exons: 1
Source: RefSeq, a predicted model, not a curated record